UACCUAUCAUGGGAGUAGGCUGGUUAUUCCAGGGUUUGGUCCCCUCUCGCUCUCUUGCUCUUUUAUGCUGCCUUGCCUUCCACCUUCUGCCAUGGGGUGACACACCACAAGGGUCCUCACCAGAUGCCAACACCUCGAUAUUGGACUUCCCAGCCUUCAGAACCAUAAGGCUUCAGUCAAGCAACCUUCCUCAUCAAGUGGACCAGGCACAGCUCCUACUUAUCCCUGAGUAGUGGGUAUCAGUUUCCUGCCAGUCAUGGAGUUGUUCAAAGCCCAUCACAUACUCCGCAGGAACCAGGGGCACCUCACCCUCUUGUUACCACCCGCUGCCCCUGCCUGUUCACUCUGCUCCUGAGGGCAACGCCUGUGUGGCUGGCAUCCAAUGCUGUGUGCACCUCUUCCAAGGUGCAAGUGUAUGUGAAUAAUAACUGCUGUCAAUUUCA
Callithrix jacchus (white-tufted-ear marmoset) is the source of this 443-nucleotide non-coding RNA. Lineage: Eukaryota; Metazoa; Chordata; Mammalia; Primates; Cebidae. The record is from RefSeq and is a predicted model, not a curated record.